UACGUAGGGGCCGAGCGUUGUCCGGAGUUACUGGGCGUAAAGCGCGCGCAGGCGGCUCGUCAAGCCUGACGUGAAAGCCCCCGGCUCAACCGGGGAGGGUCGUCGGGGACUGGCGGGCUUGAGGUCGGCAGGGGUUGGUGGAAUUCCCGGUGUAGUGGUGAAAUGCGUAGAGAUCGGGAGGAACACCCGUGGCGAAGGCGGCCAACUGGGCCGGACCUGACGCUGAGACGCGAAAGCGUGGGGAGCAAACAGG
This 253-nucleotide ribosomal RNA is filed under the name uncultured bacterium. RNAcentral describes it as "partial 16S ribosomal RNA". It matches the Rfam family "Bacterial small subunit ribosomal RNA", at positions 524 to 776 of the family's 1533-position model. The record is from RNAcentral.